Pygocentrus nattereri (red-bellied piranha) is the source of this 683-nucleotide long non-coding RNA. RefSeq lists it as uncharacterized. The transcript is spliced from 5 exons. The record is from RefSeq and is a predicted model, not a curated record. NCBI's taxonomy places the organism in Eukaryota, Metazoa, Chordata, Actinopteri, Characiformes, Serrasalmidae.
CGUCACCUCCGUGGUCUUUCAACAUGAGACCGAAACGUGCUGCUUUCUUUCUUUUCGAGCUCGUCUAAGUGUCGGUGUUCGGCUCUCUGUGGUGGGAAACACGUGUCUGUGAACUGCCACAAUGAGCUCAAGCAAUUGUACAGCAGAAACACCAAAGGCUCCGCGCCUCUGCUCAGCUGCCCUGAAGAGAACAUCGGCUCUACAUAGUUUGCAGCUUGUCCUGGAAGGUGAUGGAGCCAUGUGCAGGUGACGAUGAUGUGGAACAUUCAUCUACUUAGUCCAGAGGUGGUUUGCCCAACUACUGUGAAAAUGAGCAUGCAUGCAGUGGCUGGCCAGACUGUGAAAAUAUGCAUACAUUCAUAUGUAUCUUCAUUGAUGGCCUGGAGAUGAAAGUAAUAUUGGAACAGGUUUACUUCGUGCUGGAUACCAUUUCUCAUGCAUGCACUGGGGCUAGAGACAGUUUUGUCCAUCUAUUACAGAAGAACAGUCAAGUUGGAUUCCCAAGGAGUGACUAAAGCUAUCUUGUUAAAUUAACUGGUUGACUUUACUAGUAGUUUAGUUCAUAUGCUGGUGAAGAAAGCAUUUGCUUAAAUUGGGUGGGUGGGUAUGUGUGUAUAUAUGUAAUUAUACUGUAUAGUAUAUGAAGGGAAUAAUGACCAUUAAAGUUGGUUUAACAGUCUGAA